This 273-nucleotide ribosomal RNA is filed under the name uncultured bacterium. RNAcentral describes it as "partial 16S ribosomal RNA". It matches the Rfam family "Bacterial small subunit ribosomal RNA", at positions 524 to 796 of the family's 1533-position model. The record is from RNAcentral.
GACAGAGGGUGCUAGCGUUGUUCGGAAUUACUGGGCGUAAAGGGCGCGUAGGCGGCCAUGUAAGUCGGGUGUGAAAUCCCGGGGCUCAACCCCGGAACUGCAUUCGAUACUGUGUGGCUUGAGACCGGAAGAGGUGGGUGGAAUACCCAGUGUAGAGGUGAAAUUCGUAGAUAUUGGGUGGAACACCGGUGGCGAAGGCGGCUCACUGGUCCGGUUCUGACGCUGAGGCGCGAAAGCGUGGGGAGCAAACAGGAUUAGAAACCCCCGUAGUCC